This 456-nucleotide ribosomal RNA is filed under the name uncultured bacterium. RNAcentral describes it as "partial 16S ribosomal RNA". It matches the Rfam family "Bacterial small subunit ribosomal RNA", at positions 338 to 795 of the family's 1533-position model. The record is from RNAcentral.
CCUACGGGCGGCUGCAGUGGGGAAUAUUGCACAAUGGGGGAAACCCUGAUGCAGCGACGCCGCGUGAGUGAAGAAGUAUUUCGGUACGUAAAGCUCUAUCAGCAGGGAAGAAAAAAAGUCCUUUGGACUUUGGACGGAACCUGACCAAGAAGCCACGGUUAACUACGUGCCAGCAGCCGCGGUAAUCCGUGGGGGGCAAGCGUUAUCCGGAUUAACGGGUGUAAAGGGAGCGUAGACGGCAGCGCAAGUCUGGGGUGAAAUGCCGGGGCCCAACCCCGGAACUGCGUUGGAAACUGUGCAGCUGGAGUGCAGGAGAGGUAAGCGGAAUUCCUAGUGUAGCGGUGAAAUGCGUAGAUAUUAGGAGGAACACCAGUGGCGAAGGCGGCUUACUGGACUGUAACUGACGUUGAGGCUCGAAAGCGUGGGGAGCAAACAGGAUUAGAUACCCUAGUAGUC